This 253-nucleotide ribosomal RNA is filed under the name uncultured bacterium. RNAcentral's name for it is "partial 16S ribosomal RNA". It matches the Rfam family "Bacterial small subunit ribosomal RNA", at positions 524 to 776 of the family's 1533-position model. The record is from RNAcentral.
UACAGAGGGUGCGAGCGUUGUCCGGAAUCACUGGGCGUAAAGGGCGCGUAGGCGGUGACUUAAGCGUGUGGUGAAAGCUCGGGGCUCAACCCCGAGUCGGCCGUGCGAACUGGGUCACUGGAGCAUGUCAGAGGCAGGCGGAAUUCCGGGUGUAGCGGUGGAAUGCGUAGAGAUCCGGAAGAACACCGGUGGCGAAGGCGGCCUGCUGGGACAUUGCUGACGCUGAGGCGCGACAGCGUGGGGAGCAAACAGG